Molecule: long non-coding RNA, 1518 nt
Organism: Hyposmocoma kahamanoa
Lineage: Eukaryota; Metazoa; Arthropoda; Insecta; Lepidoptera; Cosmopterigidae
Exons: 5
Source: RefSeq, a predicted model, not a curated record
CCCCUGCCAAUUUCAUAUUCCGUUAUAGUUUAAGAACAGGAGCACUAUUCACCGCCUAUUACAAUGUGUGCACGUAUGUAUCUUUAAUGAUCGGCGGUAUUGUUCUAUCAGUACAAAUCCAAUAUUGUAUCCAGUGUCCUGGAUACACAGAGCAAACUUCACACUCUAUUAUCAUCAACAAUACCGUGCUUUUAGCCUUGAUGGUUGUACUGAACGUGUGGCUCAUUUGGGGUAUUCUAAAGGAGAAAUGGACCAUCGUUUUAUCCUGGGUAGUUCUAUCUGGCGUAUGGCUCUUACAGGGAAUAUUUCUUACGAUAACACUCAACUGUCUAUCGGCAAGAAAUUUACAUUUCUUUAGUUGGAUACUCACUUUGAUUUCUACUGUUUUCUUUAUGUUUUUCAACUUUUAUUCUUGGUUGGUCGUAUAUGCAUAUUUUCUAGAACUAAGGAAAGGUUCUGAAAUAGAGGAAACUACGCUACCCUAACGCAACGGGUGACAAUGCGGAGGGAUUUUCCGUCAUACAAUUCGGCCUUUGGUACACCGUAUAAGCAUACUACCUAGAACUUAGAAGACCUGUCCCUCGUGCUGUUGUUGAUGUUGAAAUUUCCACUGGAUACUGAAACCGUUGUGUACUAAAGACGAUGAUGAACCAACUACUACAACUUAGAUCGUACUCAUACGAAUUGCAAUUCGACUAUAUCACUAUGGACACAGUGUGACUGCCAUGUGCAGUGUAGUCGGUUGUAUGGAUACUAGCGACUACGCACUAAAGCUCAUUUUACAAGGUGCGAAUUUUUGUAGCCAUAGCAACGUCAUGACAAUAAAUUGUAUAACGGAAGUCGGAUGAAAAACGGAAAUAGUACCAGAUACGUACUAAAAACCAGAUCGCGCGCUUUUCAGAGAAUUCUCACGCGAUCUCGGGAAUUCCUGUAGGUACCGUAUCAUAUUCAUUUUGUACUUCAGUAAAUUGACAUUAAAGUUCAUUAUGGUAUGCCUCAAUUUCGUUACAAAAAUUCGAUUCCAUACCGUUUCACGGCAACGUAAUAUAAGCCUAAACAUAACAAGUAUUGACGUGUUGAAACUGUAUGGUGCUUCACUUUGUGAAUUUUGUAGGAAUCUCCGGAAUCUUGAGAAACGUUUUGUCAUUACUUCUUUGUCACUCAAAUAAACGUAAGACACUUCCAUGUAUUCAAUGUAUAUUUUGCUUUCGAGCCUUAUCCACUAUUGGCGGUCUUUUUGUUCGAAAUAUUAAGAAUUUUAGGUUCUAGUGAAGGUGUCAGCGCAUUUAUUUCCACUCUUUACUCUUUCAUUAAUGAUACAUGUACACCUGGAUAUUUGAAAUAUAAAUUUCAAUUUUUGGGUGCAUCCCAUAAUCGCAAUCUUCGCUCAGACAGCAAAUUGACUCUUUUAAUUCUUUCUCACCGUACUGGUUUUUCUUUCUUCAGCCAAUACGACUCUGGAACGCUCUACCGCCCCAUAUUCAAAAAGCGCCGAAUAAGCUAGCUUUCAAGCCAUUA